AACGAACCCUGGCGGCAUGCCUAACACAUGCAAGUCGAACGAAGCCUUCGGGCUUAGUGGCGCACGGGUGCGUAACGCGUGGGAAUCUGCCCUUGGGUUCGGAAUAACAGUUAGAAAUGACUGCUAAUACCGAAUGAUGUCUUCGGACCAAAGAUUUAUCGCCCAAGGAUGAGCCCGCGUCGGAUUAGCUAGUUGGUGAGGUAAAGGCUCACCAAGGCGACGAUCCGUAGCUGGUCUGAGAGGAUGAUCAGCCACACUGGGACUGAGACACGGCCCAGACUCCUACGGGAGGCAGCAGUGGGGAAUAUUGGACAAUGGCGAAAGCCUGAUCCAGCAAUGCCGCGUGAGUGAUGAAGGCCUUAGGGGUUGUAAAGGCUCUUUUACCCGGGAUGAUAAUGACAGUACCGGGAGAAUAAGCCCCGGCUAACUCCGUGCCAGCAGCCGCGGUAAU
This 451-nucleotide ribosomal RNA is filed under the name uncultured bacterium. RNAcentral's name for it is "bacterial SSU rRNA". It matches the Rfam family "Bacterial small subunit ribosomal RNA", at positions 29 to 524 of the family's 1533-position model. The record is from RNAcentral.